Molecule: ribosomal RNA, 252 nt
Filed under: uncultured bacterium
Lineage: Bacteria
Description: partial 16S ribosomal RNA
Rfam family: Bacterial small subunit ribosomal RNA
Source: RNAcentral
UACAGAGGUCUCAAGCGUUGUUCGGAUUUAUUGGGCGUAAGGGCGCGUAGGCGGCGGGGUAAGUCGGGUGUGAAAUCUCAGGGCUCAACCCUGAAACUGCACUUGAUACUGCUCUGCUUGAGGACUGGAGAGGAGACUGGAAUUCACGGUGUAGCAGUGAAAUGCGUAGAUAUCGUGAGGAAGACCAGUGGCGAAGGCGGGUCUCUGGACAGUUCCUGACGCUGAGGCGCGAAGGCCAGGGGAGCAAACGGG